ACUACUGGUGCAGCAAUUACAACUACCAGUGCUGCAACUACAACUACAGGUGCUGCAACUACAACCACUGGUGCUGCAACUACAACCUCAGCUGCUCCAACUACAACCACCAGUGCUGCGACUUUAACCACCGGUGCGGUAACUACAACCACCGCUGCUGCAACCACAACUACAGUUGCUGCAACUACUACAGAGGCAGUCACGACAAGGCAGUUGACUUUCCGCUCUGAUGAGACAUAUACAAGCGACUUGGGAAUUUCAUCAUCUGCAGCUUUUAUAGCUCGAGCCACACUGUUAAAGACAAAUCUUGAACCAUUCUACCGAGCCGCCUAUUCUUCAUUCCGCCUCAUCACAGUGAAUUCAUUCAGGAAUGGAUCAAUCAUUAACGAAUUGGGCCUUGGAUUUGCAUCCACAUCUGUUCCUAAUAACACUCAGAUUGCAAAUACUUUGAUUGACGCAGCCUCAAAUAUCACAGCCUUCAACAUUGACACCACCUCCAUUUCUGUGGAUGGCACACAAGUUUCAAGUGGAGUGAGCCACAAGUUCAGUCUCAUCACUGCAUCCUUCCUUGUGCUGCUGUCCUGGAUGCUGUCAAGCCAGCAGUAGUGUCAGUGAUGAUGUCUAUGUGAAACCCCAUCAAAAAGUAACUCCUAUCACUGGUAUGAAAAAGGACUUUGUUCCCAUUCUGAAUUGAAGAAGCCCUCUGAGGAUCCCAACUGUUAUAUAUGACUUGGAAUUAACUUCCAGACAUGAAAUUCAAAGUUGGUUGGUCACACAUAAUGACAACAAAGGUCUAUUCAACCUUGAUAACAGAGACCUUUACUAGAACUUUUCAUUGUUUCUCUGUCUGACAUCCCAGGAAGCCCAUCAAUGAGGGGCACAACUAUAAGCACCUGGCCCCCAAAAAAGAGCUAUAACUGCAAUGAUGAUUAUAAUCAAACUUGAAUGUAUUUUGUUACAAUGACAUAAUUUAAAGCCAGAUAUAUUCAAAUUGAACAUGAAGGUGAGACCUUUGAAUUGAUUUGAAUGUCAAAAUUAUUUACACUGCAUUCAGUUAGACGCUGUUUAAGAGUUGU
Acanthopagrus latus (yellowfin seabream) is the source of this 1076-nucleotide long non-coding RNA. RefSeq lists it as uncharacterized. The record is from RefSeq and is a predicted model, not a curated record. The transcript is spliced from 4 exons. Lineage: Eukaryota; Metazoa; Chordata; Actinopteri; Spariformes; Sparidae.